ACCUGGGAUAGCGCAGCUGGUAGAGCACGAGCCUCUUAAUCUCCAGGUCGUGGGUUUGAGCCCCAUGUUGGGCA
Molecule: non-coding RNA, 74 nt
Organism: Podarcis lilfordi (Lilford's wall lizard)
Lineage: Eukaryota; Metazoa; Chordata; Lepidosauria; Squamata; Lacertidae
Source: the annotation of a GenBank genome assembly